CCCGCCUGGCUCUGCCGUUGCUGCUGUUACAAGACCGGGAAACCGCGUCCGCGGUCGCGCGAGACCACCGAGCCCGCGCCGCCGCUAACGUCAUAAUCCGGCGCUUGGAGCGCCCCAUGUCGUCAUCACGCACGGCGUGCAUAUGACAGCUUAAGCUGGUCAGAGUCUGCACUAUAGUCCUAGCCAGUUUAUUCCAACCAGAAGAAAUAAGCAAGAAGCCCCGCUCACCUAGCCCAAACCGCACUCUACAAUCUCUUGUGUUGUAUCUUUAUAUGGCCACCAAGUUGCAGAUGCUACCAUGAUGCCAUCCUGACUUCCCUGGGCAAACAACCUCACCAUUGUGUCCUGGAACCUCAUCUCUCCAGAGCCCCACCCCACUAGGGAAAGAGACAGGUUGGGGGUAUGGAUUGACCAGACAAAUGCCCAUGUCCAGUGGAGAAGCAAUUACAGAAGCCAGACUUUCCACCUUCUGCACUCCAUAAAAAGAGUUUUAUCCAUAUUCCCAAAAGGAUAAUGAAUAGGGAAGCUUCCAAUGGAGGGGAUGGGACACAGAACUCUGGUGGUGGAAACUAUAUGGAAAUAUACUCAUUAUGUUAUAAUCUUGUUAAUCAUUAGUAAAUGACUAAUAAAAAAAAGUUUCCACUUUAAAAAAGAAAACCCCAGAGAUAUAAAUUAGCUACUCAG
Erinaceus europaeus (western European hedgehog) is the source of this 684-nucleotide long non-coding RNA. RefSeq lists it as uncharacterized. NCBI's taxonomy places the organism in Eukaryota, Metazoa, Chordata, Mammalia, Eulipotyphla, Erinaceidae. The record is from RefSeq and is a predicted model, not a curated record. The transcript has 3 exons.